RNAcentral lists this ribosomal RNA (484 nucleotides) under uncultured bacterium. RNAcentral's name for it is "partial 16S ribosomal RNA". It matches the Rfam family "Bacterial small subunit ribosomal RNA", at positions 30 to 507 of the family's 1533-position model. The record is from RNAcentral.
AUUGAACGCUGGCGGCAGGCCUAACACAUGCAAGUCGAGCGGAUGAAGGGAGCUUGCUCCUGGAUUCAGCGGCGGACGGGUGAGUAAUGCCUAGGAAUCUGCCUGGUAGUGGGGGAUAACGUCCGGAAACGGGCGCUAAUACCGCAUACGUCCUGAGGGAGAAAGUGGGGGAUCUUCGGACCUCACGCUAUCAGAUGAGCCUAGGUCGGAUUAGCUAGUUGGUGGGGUAAAGGCCGACCAAGGCGCCGAUCCGUAACUGGUCUGAGAGGAUGAUCAGUCACACUGGAACUGAGACACGGUCCAGACUCCUACGGGAGGCAGCAGUGGGGAAUAUUGGACAAUGGGCGAAAGCCUGAUCCAGCCAUGCCGCGUGUGUGAAGAAGGUCUUCGGAUUGUAAAGCACUUUAAGUGGGGAGGAAGGGCAGUAAGUUAAUACCUUGCUGUUUUGACGGUACCAACAGAAUAAGCACCGGCUAACUUCGUG